This 468-nucleotide ribosomal RNA is filed under the name uncultured bacterium. Its description in RNAcentral is "partial 16S ribosomal RNA". It matches the Rfam family "Bacterial small subunit ribosomal RNA", at positions 28 to 507 of the family's 1533-position model. The record is from RNAcentral.
GACGAACGCUGGCGGCGUGCUUAACACAUGCAAGUCGAACGGAAAGGCCCUGCUUUUGUGGGGUGCUCGAGUGGCGAACGGGUGAGUAACACGUGAGUAACCUGCCCUUGACUUUGGGAUAACUUCAGGAAACUGGGGCUAAUACCGGAUAGGAGCUCCUGCUGCAUGGUGGGGGUUGGAAAGUUUCGGCGGUUGGGGAUGGACUCGCGGCUUAUCAGCUUGUUGGUGGGGUAGUGGCUUACCAAGGCUUUGACGGGUAGCCGGCCUGAGAGGGUGACCGGCCACAUUGGGACUGCGAUACGGCCCAGACUCCUACAGGAGGCAGCAGUGGGGAAUAUUGCACAGUGGGCGGAAGCCUGAUGCAGCAACGCCGCGUGCGGGAUGACGGCCUUCGGGUUGUAAACCGCUUUCGCCUGUGACGAAGCGUGAGUGACGGUAAUGGGUAAAGAAGCACCGGCUAACUACGUG